GAUGAACGCUGGCGGCGUGCCUAAUACAUGCAAGUCGAGCGAACUGAUUAGAAGCUUGCUUCUAUGACGUUAGCGGCGGACGGGUGAGUAACACGUGGGUAACCUGCCUGUAAGACUGGGAUAACUUCGGGAAACCGAAGCUAAUACCGGAUAGGAUCUUCUCCUUCAUGGGAGAUGAUUGAAAGAUGGUUUCGGCUAUCACUUACAGAUGGGCCCGCGGUGCAUUAGCUAGUUGGUGAGGUAACGGCUCACCAAGGCAACGAUGCAUAGCCGACCUGAGAGGGUGAUCGGCCACACUGGGACUGAGACACGGCCCAGACUCCUACGGGAGGCAGCAGUAGGGAAUCUUCCGCAAUGGACGAAAGUCUGACGGAGCAACGCCGCGUGAGUGAUGAAGGCUUUCGGGUCGUAAAACUCUGUUGUUAGGGAAGAACAAGUACAAGAGUAACUGCUUGUGCCUUGACGGUACCUAACCAGAAAGCCACGGCUAACUACGUGCCAGCCGCCGCAGUAA
RNAcentral lists this ribosomal RNA (514 nucleotides) under uncultured bacterium. RNAcentral's name for it is "partial 16S ribosomal RNA". It matches the Rfam family "Bacterial small subunit ribosomal RNA", at positions 28 to 523 of the family's 1533-position model. The record is from RNAcentral.